This is a small nuclear RNA of Acomys russatus (golden spiny mouse), 107 nucleotides long. The record is from RefSeq and is a predicted model, not a curated record. NCBI's taxonomy places the organism in Eukaryota, Metazoa, Chordata, Mammalia, Rodentia, Muridae.
AUGCUCACUUCCACAGCACUUAUCCUAAAAUUAGUACAAUACAAGGAAGACUAGCAUGGUCCCUGUGCAAGGAUAACACAUAAAUUCAUUAAUGUUCCAUAAGAAGA